UUGGGAGAAAAUCAAUUAACGAGAAGAAGAUGAUAUGAAGAAGACGAGCGUCGCUGAGAUUGGGAGAAAAAAACUUUUGUCACCGUCAUCAACUCAUCAUUUGAUAGAUGGUUCCUUUGAUGAGCUAACAACGGAGAUUUCAACGAGAAGAAGAUGAUAUGCAACGUGUAACCUUCUCGACCCUUCUGGCAGAAAUCCAAUCUGCAGCAAAGCAAAUGUAUGCUUCUCGACCCUCCUUGCAGAAAUCUAAUUGAAGCAAAGCAAUUUACUCAAACGAGCUGUGGUGACGUAACGGAAGCCGCAUAGAGAAAGUGAAGAUCAACGCCAGGAGUUGCAGCAUCUGAAGCAGAAUAUUGUUACUCAGUACCAGGAACAGCUUAGAACUCUUAAGAACCUUGGCAAUGCUGAUCUUGUUGAAGAAGCCUCACUUGGAGAUGUAAAGAUUUUGAAGAUCAUUGGAAUCAAAGAUAUGGGGACAACAACUUCUGUUUUUGUCCGUGGUUCCAAUCAGCUUGUUCUUUAUGAAGCCGAGAGGAGUCUACACGAUGAUUUAUGUGUUGUCACGUGUAUGGUGAGCAAGAGGUUUUUGACUUCAGGAGGUGGUGCACCAGAUAUUGAGCUCUCAAGGCAGCUAGGUGCUUGGGCUAAGAUUCUCCAUGGAAUGGAAGGUUUUUGUGUGAAGUUUUUCGCUGAAGCUCUCUGGUUAUUUACUUAUUUCCUUACACGCUAGCUGGGAAUGCAGAUUCACUGUCUCGAAGAAAGGAGGAUGCAAUGAAUUUGAAAACGUGAAAGGAAUGGGGACAUGGAAUGAAUGACGGUGUUGCAUCUGGAUGUGUCUUAAAUCUCUGUGCUCUAGUAAAAGCUAUGCAUUCUUUGG
Brassica oleracea var. oleracea is the source of this 877-nucleotide long non-coding RNA. RefSeq lists it as uncharacterized. NCBI's taxonomy places the organism in Eukaryota, Viridiplantae, Streptophyta, Magnoliopsida, Brassicales, Brassicaceae. The record is from RefSeq and is a predicted model, not a curated record. The transcript is spliced from 3 exons.